GAAACUUCAUUACACCCGAGACUUCAUUCGAGACGCAGGUAAAGUGAGCCACCAAUAGGAUGGCGGGGGAAUGUUUGGUUACCAAUUCCUUGCAUGACGCCACUAAAUAUACUCCAGGAUAAACAAGAAAUCAGAGGAAGUGACACACUGCGUCAUCAUUUCAUCAUCUCUGUAUAGGAAAGAAAUGUUUCUGUGGAAUCAUAGAGAGAAGACAAACACCAGGGUUGCCUGUGUAUCUUCUGCGUCAACACAAAACAUCAGUAUUGGAACAAAUUUGUCAGCAGGGGAAUGAGAGUUGGAUCAAUAUCAGUUGCAAGGCACAUCUGACAAGAAUCAGAAGACCUGACAAAGCUGGUUUACCUCUGCUUCACAACACUACACCCAUGUUCCUCAUAUUUAAACAAAGCUGUCAGACCAGAUGCAGAACCUCCCACCAAGAUCUUCAAGAGGUGGAACAGGCAGCUAACCUUGUUCAGCUCAGAGCAGGACAGGCCAUUCACUACAUGCAGCUGAUGUCAGGAGUGCAGUUUGUUGUGACUUAGGUUCAAUGAUUACCAUGCUAAAUGUUUGCUGUUCAUACUAAGAAG
RNA transcript from Scylla paramamosain (green mud crab), 587 nucleotides. RefSeq lists it as uncharacterized. NCBI's taxonomy places the organism in Eukaryota, Metazoa, Arthropoda, Malacostraca, Decapoda, Portunidae. The record is from RefSeq and is a predicted model, not a curated record. The transcript is spliced from 4 exons.